CUGCGUGGAUGAUCAGUGUAGUGGAAGCAGGGACUUGCUGAGAGCUGAAAUCUCUGUUUGAUUUGCUGUAACAUGUAAAGCGAAACUGGGACAUUUUACUUUACAGUCUAUUAAAGGUUAUACAAAACUUAAAAGAAGCAGCAAUUCUAUUCGCUUGUUAUUGGACUCGAAACUCCCUUUGACCUCGGAAACUGAAGAUGAGGUUGCCAUGGGAACUGCUGGUACUGCAAUCAUUCAUGUUGUGCCUUGCAGAUGAUUCCACACUGCAUGGCCCGAUUUUUAUUCAAGAACCAAGUCCUGUAAUGUUCCCUUUGGAUUCUGAGGAGAAAAAGGUGAAGCUCAAUUGUGAAGUUAAAGGAAAUCCAAAACCUCACAUCAGGUGGAAGUUAAAUGGAACAGAUGUUGACACUGGUAUGGAUUUCCGCUACAGUGUUGUUGAAGGGAGCUUGUUGAUCAAUAACCCCAAUAAAACCCAAGAUGCUGGAACGUACCAGUGCACAGCGACAAACUCGUUUGGAACAAUUGUUAGCAGAGAAGCAAAGCUUCAGUUUGCUUAUCUUGACAACUUUAAAACAAGAACAAGAAGCACUGUGUCUGUCCGUCGAGGUCAAGGAAUGGUGCUACUGUGUGGCCCGCCACCCCAUUCUGGAGAGCUGAGUUAUGCCUGGAUCUUCAAUGAAUACCCUUCCUAUCAGGAUAAUCGCCGCUUUGUUUCUCAAGAGACUGGGAAUCUGUAUAUUGCCAAAGUAGAAAAAUCAGAUGUUGGGAAUUAUACCUGUGUGGUUACCAAUACCGUGACAAACCACAAGGUCCUGGGGCCACCUACACCACUAAUAUUGAGAAAUGAUGGAGUGAUGGGUGAAUAUGAGCCCAAAAUAGAAGUGCAGUUCCCAGAAACAGUUCCGACUGCAAAAGGAGCAACGGUGAAGCUGGAAUGCUUUGCUUUAGGAAAUCCAGUACCAACUAUUAUCUGGCGAAGAGCUGAUGGAAAGCCAAUAGCAAGGAAAGCCAGAAGACACAAGUCAAAUGGAAUUCUUGAGAUCCCUAAUUUUCAGCAGGAGGAUGCUGGUUUAUAUGAAUGUGUAGCUGAAAAUUCCAGAGGGAAAAAUGUAGCAAGGGGACAGCUAACUUUCUAUGCUCAACCUAAUUGGAUUCAAAAAAUAAAUGAUAUUCACGUGGCCAUGGAAGAAAAUGUCUUUUGGGAAUGUAAAGCAAAUGGAAGGCCUAAGCCUACAUACAGGUGGCUAAAAAAUGGCGAACCUCUGCUAACUCGGGAUAGAAUUCAAAUUGAGCAAGGAACACUCAACAUAACAAUAGUGAACCUCUCAGAUGCUGGCAUGUAUCAGUGUUUGGCAGAGAAUAAACACGGAGUUAUCUUUUCCAACGCAGAGCUUAGUGUUAUAGCUGUAGGUCCAGAUUUUUCAAGAACACUCUUGAAAAGAGUAACUCUUGUCAAAGUGGGAGGUGAAGUUGCCAUUGAGUGUAAGCCAAAAGCGUCUCCAAAACCUGUUUAUACCUGGAAGAAAGGAAGGGAUAUAGUAAAAGAAAAUGAAAGAAUUACCAUUUCUGAAGAUGGAAACCUCAGAAUCAUCAACGUUACUAAAUCAGACGCUGGGAGUUAUACCUGUAUAGCCACUAACCAUUUUGGAACUGCUAGCAGUACUGGAAACUUGGUAGUGAAAGAUCCAACAAGGGUAAUGGUACCCCCUUCCAGCAUGGAUGUCACUGUUGGAGAAAGUAUUGUUUUGCCGUGCCAGGUAACGCAUGAUCACUCGCUAGACAUCGUGUUUACUUGGUCAUUUAAUGGACACCUGAUAGACUUUGACAGAGAUGGGGACCACUUUGAAAGAGUUGGAGGGCAGGAUUCAGCUGGUGAUUUGAUGAUCCGAAACAUCCAACUGAAGCAUGCUGGGAAAUAUGUCUGCAUGGUCCAAACAAGUGUGGACAGGCUAUCUGCUGCUGCAGACCUGAUUGUAAGAGGUCCUCCAGGUCCCCCAGAGGCUGUGACAAUAGACGAAAUCACAGAUACCACUGCUCAGCUCUCCUGGAGACCGGGGCCUGACAACCACAGCCCCAUCACCAUGUAUGUCAUUCAAGCCAGGACUCCGUUCUCCGUGGGCUGGCAAGCAGUCAGUACAGUCCCAGAACUCAUUGAUGGGAAGACAUUCACAGCGACCGUGGUGGGUUUGAACCCUUGGGUCGAAUAUGAAUUCCGCACAGUUGCAGCCAAUGUGAUUGGGAUUGGGGAGCCCAGCCGCCCUUCAGAGAAACGGAGAACAGAAGAAGCUCGUGAGUUGCACCCGAGAUUCAGAUCAUCUGUUCUGCCAGCUGCUGUUCCUUAGGAAAAGCCUUUGAAUUCUUGCUGCUCUUCAGCACUCAUGCGGCUCUGUGUUAGCACACCCUUCCCUUUAAAUGAUUAUAAUGAUAGAAAUCAGGCCAGGAGAAGCCCAGCUGAACACGCAACGGGUUUCAAUCAAUCAAGAGUUAAGUUUUCUUCAUUAGGUCCACUUGUACAGCAAGAGACACACUGUGCUUAGUCCUCUCAAAAGCCAGCCCUUUCUUCAUUGGUUCAUUUGUCACCAAGAUUCUAACAGAAUUUCAAAAAAAAAUCCCACAUUUCAAAUAAAAUUAUCUCACAUAAGU
This 2643-nucleotide small RNA is filed under the name Pan troglodytes (chimpanzee). RNAcentral's name for it is "retained intron". The record is from RNAcentral. Lineage: Eukaryota; Metazoa; Chordata; Mammalia; Primates; Hominidae.